Molecule: long non-coding RNA, 1107 nt
Organism: Syngnathoides biaculeatus (alligator pipefish)
Lineage: Eukaryota; Metazoa; Chordata; Actinopteri; Syngnathiformes; Syngnathidae
Exons: 3
Source: RefSeq, a predicted model, not a curated record
CGCCCACCCGUCACGGGCUCCUCUCCUGCAAACCAGUCCGCUCGAGGAGGCUCCUCGCUCGGCUUGACUCGCUAAGCGCGCUCCGGGUGUCAGAUUACUGAACGUGGAAAGAGAGGGAGAAGAAAAGGAGGAGGAGGAGUACUGUACAGUCAAAAGUUCCGACUGCCAACAUUUUGCGCUUUGGGUUGGGAAACAGCGCCAUCAGGGUCAGGAGUGCUGGAACCUAUCCCAGCUAUCGUCAGGCAGGAGGCGGGGUACACCGUGAACUGGUCGCCAGCCAAUCGCAGGGAACGUGGCGACAAACAGCCGCACUCACAAUCCCACCUCGGGACAAUUUAGAGUGUCCAAUUUUUGUUGCAUGUUUUUGGGAUGUGGGAGGAAACCCACGCAGGCACAGGGAGAACAUAUCUUGUCACUGUACAUGCUCAAUGCACCAUUAGUAUUCACAAACUGUUACUGUUACACAAUUAUGAACACUUUUCAUCUAUCCUUUGAUGGCAUUUAGCAUUGUGUUUUAGCAUUAAGUGGUGGUUAGCUACUUAGCAUUUUUUUUUUAUCUUUUCGUCAUGGCGAACACUUUUUUUUUUAACUAUUUACUCAGGACAUCCUGUAGAUAACUGGCAGUGUUCCACAAGGCUCUAUACUAGAACAACACAUUUUUCUACAUUAUACUCUACAUAGUACCGCUGUGAUGGAAAACUGGUGGCGUUCCAUAAGUUAGAUUUAAUUUUACAAUCUUUUUGGCUCAAGGCAAUAUAUGCUUCAAUAUUUUAACAGUUUUUAUGAAAUUGUUGAAACCAAAUUUCAAAUUUGUGGGGAAAAAACUGAAAAAAGAAAAGCCAAUUAAUGGAGAGUCAGGCAGGAGACAUUUUUCUGUCAUAUUUUACAUCAGGGGUGUCAAACUCAUUUUUGUCAUGGGCCACAUCCUAGUUACGGUUUCCCUCAGAAGGGCCAUGAUGAUCGAAACCAUAAAAACCUUUCAUCGCCUCAUCAUAUUUACACGUGAAACUUAUGAACUCGGACUCCUACUUUGGUAAGCCAAAGAUGCCUGCAAUACCUCCAUGUUAUCAUUUAUGAUAUGACAAUUUGAAAUUUUUGUACAGAUUU